AUGAUCUACUCAUCGGAAACUGGAGGGUGGACUUCCAUGCAGAGUCAGUGCAAUGGUGGCCGUACAUAUCAGGUCGGUGAUUUAGAAAGCACCCUCCUAAAUGGCAUUAUGCAUUUCCCUACUCGAUCUUCAUCAAUUGUCACAGUGGACAUGGAAAGGAAUGCUUGGAGGAGAAUUAAAAUGCCACCUGGCUUGCCAAACAACUAUGGCGGUGCUUCCAUUGGGCAGUCACAGGGACGCCUGCAUGUUUGGGAAGAGGAUCAAGAUGGUUGCCAACUCUCUAUUUGGGUUCUUGAGAAUUAUGACAGUGGACAGUGGACCCUAAAGUGUACCAUUAACUGUUUUGAACUGCUUGGAAGGGAUUGUUGCAAAAAUGAUGAGUACUACUCGAUGUUUGCAAUUCAUCCAGAAUGUAAUUUGAUUUUCUUUACUGAUGGAAAUGACAAGAUAUUAUCAUACAACAUGGAUAAUCAGAAAGUCCAUGUUAUCUGCGCUUCUGAAGAUUUCUUCAAAGGUUGA
Molecule: ribosomal RNA, 519 nt
Filed under: Triticum aestivum (bread wheat)
Lineage: Eukaryota; Viridiplantae; Streptophyta; Magnoliopsida; Poales; Poaceae
Description: partial small subunit ribosomal RNA
Source: RNAcentral